This 65-nucleotide transfer RNA is filed under the name Brachycladium goliath. Its description in RNAcentral is "tRNA-Cys". The record is from RNAcentral. Lineage: Eukaryota; Metazoa; Platyhelminthes; Trematoda; Plagiorchiida; Brachycladiidae.
GGGCGUAGUUGUUUAGGCAGUACACUCUGCAAAGGUGUAUGUAGCGAUUGGUUCGUUCUCGCCUU